UGCGUAGGUGGCUACGUAAGUUAGAUGUGAAAUUCCAGGGCUUAACCUUGGGGCUGCGUCUAAUACUGUGUAGCUAGAGUGCUGUAGAGGGUAGUGGAAUUUCCGGUGUAGCGGUGAAAUGCGUAGAUAUCGGAAGGAACACCAGUGGCGAAGGCGACUAUCUGGACAGACACUGACACUGAGGCACGAAAGCAUGGGUAGCAAACAGGAUUAGAUACCCUGGUAGUCCAUGCUGUAAACGAUGAGAACUAGCUGUUGGGCGGUUAAACCCGUUUAGUAGCGAAGCAAGCGCGUUAAGUUCUCCGCCUGGGGAGUACGGCCGCAAGGUUAAA
This 332-nucleotide ribosomal RNA is filed under the name uncultured bacterium. RNAcentral describes it as "bacterial SSU rRNA". It matches the Rfam family "Bacterial small subunit ribosomal RNA", at positions 568 to 898 of the family's 1533-position model. The record is from RNAcentral.